GACGAAGGAUGCAAGCGUUAUCCGGAUUCAUUGGGUUUAAAGGGUCCGUAGGCGGUUUUGUAAGUCAGUGGUGAAAGCCCAUCGCUCAACGGUGGAACGGCCAUUGAUACUGCAAGACUUGAAUUAUUAGGAAGUAACUAGAAUAUGUAGUGUAGCGGUGAAAUGCUUAGAUAUUACAUGGAAUACCAAUUGCGAAGGCAGGUUACUACUAAUGGAUUGACGCUGAUGGACGAAAGCGUGGGGAGCGAACAGG
RNAcentral lists this ribosomal RNA (253 nucleotides) under uncultured bacterium. RNAcentral describes it as "partial 16S ribosomal RNA". It matches the Rfam family "Bacterial small subunit ribosomal RNA", at positions 524 to 776 of the family's 1533-position model. The record is from RNAcentral.